This 448-nucleotide ribosomal RNA is filed under the name uncultured bacterium. RNAcentral's name for it is "bacterial SSU rRNA". It matches the Rfam family "Bacterial small subunit ribosomal RNA", at positions 331 to 793 of the family's 1533-position model. The record is from RNAcentral.
CCAGACUCCUACGGGAGGCAGCAGUGGGGAAUAUUGGACAAUGGGGGGAACCCUGAUCCAGCGACGCCGCGUGAGUGAAGAAGUAUUUCGGUAUGUAAAGCUCUAUCAGCAGGGAAGAAAGAAAUGACGGUACCUGACUAAGAAGCCCCGGCUAACUACGUGCCAGCAGCCGCGGUAAUACGUAGGGGGCAAGCGUUAUCCGGAUUUACUGGGUGUAAAGGGAGCGUAGACGGCGAUGCAAGCCAGAUGUGAAAGCCCGGGGCUCAACCCCGGGACUGCAUUUGGAACUGUGUGGCUGGAGUGUCGGAGAGGCAGGCGGAAUUCCUAGUGUAGCGGUGAAAUGCGUAGAUAUUAGGAGGAACACCAGUGGCGAAGGCGGCCUGCUGGACGAUGACUGACGUUGAGGCUCGAAAGCGUGGGGAGCAAACAGGAUUAGAUACCCGAGUAA